Molecule: ribosomal RNA, 249 nt
Filed under: uncultured bacterium
Lineage: Bacteria
Description: partial 16S ribosomal RNA
Rfam family: Bacterial small subunit ribosomal RNA
Source: RNAcentral
GAUCCUGGCUCAGGACGAACGCUGGCGGCGCGCCUAACACAUGCAAGUCGAACGAAGUUUCAUAACGGAAGUUUUCGGAUGGAAGAUAUGAAACUUAGUGGCGGACGGGUGAGUAACACGUGAGCAACCUGCCUUUCAGAGGGGGAUAACGUUUGGAAACGAACGCUAAUACCGCAUAACGUAGUCGAUCGGCAUCGAUUGACUACCAAAGGAGCAAUCCGCUGAAAGAUGGGCUCGCGUCCGAUUAGA